Molecule: long non-coding RNA, 181 nt
Organism: Myotis davidii
Lineage: Eukaryota; Metazoa; Chordata; Mammalia; Chiroptera; Vespertilionidae
Exons: 3
Source: RefSeq, a predicted model, not a curated record
AGGGACCUGAGUUGAUGCACAUCCCAGAAUAUGCCAGGAAGAAAAGAGGAAGAAGUUGUUGUAAUGGCCACUGUGGACUCGCACAUGGACAAAGCACCUGAUGAGCAGGAUUAAUGCCAAGAGUUUUGCCUUGGGAAGGGGCCAGGCUACAGAGAUACUUAAUUUACAACCCGGCUCAGAG